This 447-nucleotide ribosomal RNA is filed under the name uncultured bacterium. RNAcentral describes it as "partial 16S ribosomal RNA". It matches the Rfam family "Bacterial small subunit ribosomal RNA", at positions 29 to 523 of the family's 1533-position model. The record is from RNAcentral.
AACGAACGCUGGCGGCAGGCUUAACACAUGCAAGUCGAACGCCCCGCAAGGGGAGUGGCAGACGGGUGAGUAACGCGUGGGAAUCUACCCAUCCCUACGGAACAACUCCGGGAAACUGGAGCUAAUACCGUAUACGCCCUACGGGGGAAAGAUUUAUCGGGGAUGGAUGAGCCCGCGUUGGAUUAGCUAGUUGGUGGGGUGAAGGCCUACCAAGGCGACGAUCCAUAGCUGGUCUGAGAGGAUGAUCAGCCACAUUGGGACUGAGACACGGCCCAAACUCCUACGGGAGGCAGCAGUGGGGAAUAUUGGACAAUGGGCGCAAGCCUGAUCUAGCCAUGCCGCGUGAGUGAUGAAGGUCUUAGGAUUGUAAAGCUCUUUCACCGAUGAAGAUAAUGACGGUAGUCGGAGAAGAAGCCCCGGCUAACUUCGUGCCAGCAGCCGCCGUAA